This 7097-nucleotide long non-coding RNA is filed under the name Nicotiana tabacum (common tobacco). RNAcentral's name for it is "long non-coding RNA (NTAB_LNC011036)". Lineage: Eukaryota; Viridiplantae; Streptophyta; Magnoliopsida; Solanales; Solanaceae. The record is from RNAcentral.
AAGACAUUUCAACACGAACUUUUAAGAAUAUUAUCAUAAUAAAUUGCUCCAUUAUAUCCUCUGAAGAGGAACAAUGAAGGUAAGUACUAUAAUUUUUUUUUUUGAUAGUAUCCAAAAAAAAUGUGCAAUAAACUCAUCAAAAGUUAAUUUUGCUGAUUAUUAUUUUUGUUUUCCUUUUUUUGGUGCUACUAAUGCAGAAAAAAGUUGUCAUUAAGGUUUCUAUUAAUGGAAACUCCCAUUCCAUCCUGAAGAAGUUUCUUAUGGAUUUUUUGAAGCUAAAGUACCUUGCCAAAUGUUGGGGGAACAAUUAUCAAGAUUCUAGAUCCAAAAACCAGAGCAAGGUCUUGUUAAUUGCAGCAAAAAUACCAGGUAACAAUAUAGUAGUAGUAAUAAUAAUCCCUGUUUUUAAGCCUUAGUUUGGGAGCCGCUGUAACUAGCAUUCUAACGCUGAGUGUGACGAACAUUUCUGGAGUGAACUACCUUUAUUUGCUUUCUCUACUUUUCGCAAAGAUUUACUAGCGACUGCUUCGAUAAGAUUAAUCUGGGACUGUAAUAACUCUCUUUAAUUUACUGCCUAAUAAUAAAUUCAGCGUCUUUUGGCAAAAAUAAAAAAAAAAUAAAAAAUAAAGCCUUAGUACCACUUUUUUAAUUAUAUAUUUUGUAAGUUUUUAAUUUCCACAUUUACGUUUUAUCCAUAAUGACACCCUAUUAUAUAAAUAACAUGACAUAUUUAAAAUCACAACAUUCAAAUAUUAUUUUCAUUAUACUAUACAAACCUUUAGUACAAGAUUAUAAAAUUGAAAAUUUUAUUUUAUAUUCUUAAAUUUCAUGCAUGGUCAAAUUAAGAUAGAUGAAAUGAAAAGAAACUAGAGUGUAUAUUACAUCUAGUAUGACUGCAUGUUACAAUUAAUUGAUAUGGUACUGGAGACAUAUACAUAUCAAUGAUUAUAUAGGCGGACCUAGGAAUCGACGGUCGCGGGACACUAUGACAUUCAUUUAAAUUUAUCACUUUUCAUAAAGAUUUGUACGGGAUUCUAUACUAAUAACUAACUAUUUUUUGAAGACAUUUACAAGUAUACAUGGAGUUUUUGCCAAAGUUUUCGGGUGUCAGUCACCCCUCAACCUAUAAUUUGCAUCUGCCUAUGUCAAUGAAGUAUUUACACAUACUUUGCAUGAGAGAAAGAAUCAGAUCCACACAACAACAACAACAACAACAACAACAACAACAACAACAAUAACAAUAACAAUAACAAUAACAACAACAAAAACAAAAAUAACAAUAAAUCUAGUAAAGUCUUAUAAGUUGAGUCCGAGGAGGGUAGUGUAUAUGCAAACCUUAUCCAUGUCUUGUAAAGGUAAAAACGUUGUCUCUGAUAGACCAUCCGCUUAAAAAAAAUGCAUCAUCACCACGGUUAAAAUAAGAAACUACGACAAAGGAGAAUCCAUCCGUCAGAAAAAGGUAACCGAAGCAAAAGCAAUACAAGUCCAAAAUCUAAAAAUAGGAAAUACGAGAAUACACUCGUAUUACAGACAGUGGCAGAGCCACAUGCACCCACCGACACCCUUUUGUCAGAAAAUUACACCGUUUAAUGAUACCCCUUAACUUUUUGGUGAAUUUAUUUCUUUAUAUUUUGACUCCUUUAAUAAAAAUUCUGGCUCCGCCACCGCCACCGCCACCGCCACUGAUUACAGAUAUAGAAAAGCAAUACAAGUACGAAAAAAAUUAGCUUUCUAACCUAUUGCCCUAAUCGGAUCCACAAGAGGGAUUGUUCUGAUGGUAAGCAACCUCCACUUCCAACCAAGAGGUUGUGAGUUCGAGUCUACCCAAGAGCAAGGUGGGAAGUUCUUGGAGGGAAGGAUGCCGAAGGUCUAUUUGGAAACAGCCUCUCUACCCCAGGGUAGGGGUAAGGUCUACGUACACAUUACCCUCCCCAGACACCACUAAGUAGGAUUAUACUGGGUUGUUGUUGUUGUUGGAUCCACACGUAAACGAUAACAUUGGCUAACUUGAACAUUUGCAGGGGUAGAGAAAGUAGCUAUAGAAGGUGAAGAAAAGAAUGAGCUAAUGGUGAUCGGUGAGGAAAUUGAUGCAGCAGAGUUGGUCACUAUACUUAGGAAGAAAGUAGGUUUUGCCAACAUUGUGAGUAUUGGUCCAGUUGAUGAUGAAAAGAAAGAAGAAAAACAGAAAGAAGAAGUUGCAAACUCAAUAUCCCCAUUGGUCUAUGGCAAUGGAUUAAUACCCCCUUUUCAAAUUUGGGAAGUUAGAUAUCCCACCUAUUGCUCCAUUUUGUGAUCAUUUGUUUAACUUGAAAUAUUAAUUAUGCAGCAAAUUGUUAAUCUGAGCUGAGGGUCUCCCGGAAACAGCUCGUCUGCGUACACUCUACCCUUCCCGGACCCCAUUAGUGAGAUUUUACUGGGUUGUUGUUGUUGGUAUUUUGUAAUGAGAGAUAUAUGCAUGUUUAGGGGCGGAGGUAGAACACAAGUUACGGGUUCGGCUUAGCCCAGUAGCUUUAAUCCAAGCCCUAUAUUUAUCUUAAGAAAUUAUUGAAUAUAUAGAAAUUAUUACUUCUUCCGUUUCAAUUAUUACUAGCUACACGCUAGAUUAAAAAUACAAAUCAAACAUUGGAUAAAAUGAUACAAUACCAGUAUAAAUUUUAUACUUAAAUGAUGGUAUUAGUUAUUCCACGUAAGAGGUCGGAUAGUUAAUCUCAUGGAAUAUCCUAAGAUUAUAAUCUCAUGGAUAGUUAUUCGACCCUUGUUUUUUUGAGCCGAGGGUCUCCUGGAAACAGCCUCUCUAUCCUUCGGGGUAGGGGUAAGGUCUGCGUACAUAUUACCCUCCCCAUACCCCACUUGUGGGAUUAUACUGGGUCGUUGUUGUUGUGAUAUACCAGAACUGAAACGUACCCAACAACUUCAUCUUUUACCUUAAAUCAAACGAAUCCAUGAAAAUUAGGGGGAAAAAAUAGCGUACUUAUUAGUAAAUUAAAGUAAUUUAUGCCAUGCCUAACAUAACCCUAGUUUCUAUUUAUAAGCACGGAGCACCCCAUUUUUUUUUAGUUAAAUAUAGUAACACUAGAGAGUAAGAUUCUUCAUUUAAUAUAUUGUGGAGAUUUGAUGAUUGAUUAAAGUGGAAUUUGACCUCCAUAUAAUGCAUAAAACGAAUAAAAAGAAUGAUUUUUGGCUCGUAAAUUAAACCACACCAUUUUCCUACAUUAUAUAUAGCAUGUAAUAAUGUAUGGUAAAGUCUCACAUUAUUUGAGGCAUGUAAUAAGUAUGUAUUUCUAAACGUAGAUAGAAGAAUCCCGAAUGAAUAACUAACCGAUUCAUUUAAUUAAGAGAGUUUAUGAUUGAUCCAAUUUGGUUCUUCACAUACUUAGCGGCGGAGCUAGCAUGCUGGUUAUGAGUUCGGCCGAAUUCAAUAACUUUAGUCCAAAAUUUAUAUUUUUUCUAAAGAAAUUCAUUAAAAAUUUAGGGCCUUAAAAGUUGGAAAUUAGGAUUGACUUUCUUCCUCUUUAGGUUCAAGCUAGCUCUCAUACAAUUCUCAAUCUUUGCACUAGACUCAGUGAAAUUGAUAGAGUUGAAUUGACCAAAAAAUCAUUAAUAAAAAAGGAAGUCUUUUGAGUGAUAACAAAUUUUAUCUAAGGCCAACUAAAAAUAACAUUUAAAAAUAUAGUAAAGUACAAAAGAUUAAAGAUAAUAUAUUCAUAAUUUUUUUAAAACUCAAAUUAAAAAGUGCAGGAAUUUGAUUAACUAUCUAGGAAUAGUAAUAUAUAAAUAUAAUAAUGUCAUAAGUCACUAAAUUUAUAAUUUUAGAACGAAAUAUUGUAUAAAUUAUAAUCAAAUAUUUUUUAAAAAAAUCUAAGAAUAAAAUAUUUGAGACAUAUAGAGCCAGAUAAUCCAAAAAAAAAAGUACUUGUUUUUUUUUUUCUGAUUGUUAUGACGGUAGACAUUUGAUUAUUAUAUUUAUAAUAAUUCUGUGUACUUGGCUCAAUUGGUAUAAGCUAACUCUUUGGAGCAGUGGCGGAUUUAGAGGGAAAAAAUAGGGUACGUGAACCUAUGAUCUUUCCGAAAAAUUAAAUAUUUAUGUAACAUAUAUUUUAAAAUUGGUAUAAUAUUAACUGUUGGCAUCCGUAUUUUAAAAAGUUGAAUGGUGCACUUGGUUGAAGGUUGAGUUAUUUACUAAGAGGAAGACGGAUCAAUUCUCACUUAAUACGUUGCACCCCUUAAGUUUAUGAAAUCACUAAUGAGCCUACCCAAAAAAAUUGUGAAGAAAAUAAUCGAAAAGGAACACUCUAGCCCUCCCCUCCCCCCUCCCAACCCCCCCCCCCCCCAAAAAAAAAAGAAGAAGAAUCCUCUAAUCUCAGGAGUGGAAUUAGUGUAUCGAUUACGGGUUCGAUCUAACUUGAUAACUUUUGUUCAAAUCAAGUAUUUGACUAUAUAAAAAUUAUUAAUUUAGAAUUCAAUAAUUUAAAAAGAUUCAUAAGCUUCAAAUCCUGACUCCGUUUGCACUCCUAAAAAUGCAAAUAGUAUUACUCCAUUAUCUAGAAUGGUUGGACCUUCACCAUUAGUAUACUGGUAGAAACUUCUGAAUAGAAAGUCUGAAUACAUCACAAAGGUGGUAUAUAAUGUAAAGUUUCAAAUUUUGUCUAUAACGGUGUACAAAAUAUAUAUACACUUAGGGGUUGUUUGGUUGCUAGCUAGGGUUACAAAGGUAUAAGCUAAGUAAUACAGAGAUUAGUUAUAUAUACAUGAAUUAGUUUUGCAUGAAUAAGUAAGUAAGGGUUAGUUAUGCAUGAUUUAGUUAUUCGGGAUUUAGUUGUUUCAUCUUCUACCACACAUAAAAUAAUACAUAAAUUAACGUACUCAUAACUUGAUAGGUUAUGUGACCUGCUAUGUUUUGAUGAUCUAACAAACUUAAAGAACCAGAUGGGGAAGCUGUUCCACAUCCUCAAGUGCUCAAGAAUAACAAGUCUUAAGUCCGUUACAUGCCUCAACAAUUCAGAGUCAAAAAAACGACAGAGGAAACAAAUGGACAUUAGUUCCCUUGCUGACUGUACUAAGUCAAUUUCCCACAGGUUGUAAAGCUGCUGCAACUGUCCUCUGCACGCACGCAACACCAUAAACAGUGCAACAGUCACUUUAGGGGAAUGCCUUUGUACCAAAUAAUGCUUGCAUCAUCUGUAACACCCCACAUUUUUACUAAUAUUUGCGUUCUUGAUUGAGCAUCUUUAUAUUGAGGAGAUAUUUUACUUCGCACUUCCUAAUGAAAUUAACAUUAUACGAAAAUUUCUUACUUUAGAUUGUGCUAAUAUUGACAAAGAAGUCCAUGAUAUUGCUAUGUGUAACACUUAAUAUUAUUUUGAUGAAUUAUUAUUAAUACACUAUAUAAUUAAGGUUUUGGGCUGCCACCCUUUUGUAUUUAUCUAAAUAUAUUUAGUAGGUUGGGUAGCCACAUUUUUCAUAUUUAUCAAAAGUUUAGAUAUUACCUUGGUAGACAUGUUUUUCCAUACCCUCCUCUCAUAUUUUAUUUUUUCAAGACAAAGAAAACCCCUACCCUCUCUCCUUCUUAUCACCUAAAAAAUUCAUGAAAACUAUCAUAAAUUUCCACUAAACCAACCAGCAAAAUUCGUUCUUGGGGAAGCUCAAUUGCUCCUCUCUUUUGUGGUAAGUUACUAAACCCGUUUUACACUAGACAACUAUUAGUAUUUUCUUCAUAUCAUUUUGUAUAGAGCGUCGUUUUAAGUGAUCCAAGACUUUCUGGAAAGCUAUUUUAUAGAUCUACAAUUCUUAUGCAGGAACCAAAACCUAGUUUGUCUUUAUUUACCCAAAAAUAGGUGAUGAAGUACAGGGAAGGUGUUGUCCUGAUUUUCUGUUUUACAAACCCUCCCUAUACUACUAUUAGUAAUUUUAGCAUAAUUGUUUGUACAAAAUUGAUAUGGGGGUGAUACAAGAUGUUCAGAAAUGCUAAGACACAUAUCUACAAAUGUAAAGAAGACCACACAAUCUAGUUUGUCCUUUUUUAUCUUCAAAUCUGAGCCACAACACGAAACAGUGAUACUGUCCAAAAUUUCUGUUUCAAAAAUUUUGGGUAAUUUUCAACAAUAUCAUAUUUAGUUAUACAUGUUAAAUCACUGAACUUAUAUAGAUAUUUGAUUAUGUAUUUAAGAUAUAUAUACCCUUGUAAAAUCUAAGGGGAAGUGUUUGAGGAAGUGGACAGAUUUGAUUUGUCUAUGGCGUAGACGAUUCGAACAUCGUCAAGUUGUGGUUGAACUGUUUUGUGGUAAAAUACCAAGGUUUGUGUAUAAACUUUAUACUCUUUUUACUUACUGGAAUAUUUUGAAAUAACCUAAUAUUUUGUUUUUUCUUGUCUUCAAUUAAUAGCAUUGUAUUUGUGUUAUAUCAAGUAUUGUAAGAUAUUUGCUAAAUCGCCCACUCGUACGGAUUUGCUUAAUCAUUUUGCAUUCUUGUUGGGAUUUUGUCCUUAUUGUGGCAGUGACUUUGUCACUUAUCUUGGCAUGCCUCUUGAUUUGGAUCUUUUGCCAUCUUGACUUUGGGUUCGUAGUUCGUCUUAAAUUAUGGAACUUGUCUAUGUUAAGUACGAACUAGGAAGCCAUUUUUAAUAUGGUUCUUGAUUCUCUUGACUAUUGGGUUUGACCCUACUUGAUUUGGGGAUUCGAUCCAUCUUGAUAUCUUAUUAUACUUAGUGUGAUGGCAUGACGUACAUAUUGGAGAAAAAAAUGGAUAUGUGGCAAACUCUCUUGGAUUGAUAGUAUACGCUUUCUCGACUCUUGAACAUUGUUAUUGAUAUUUGGAAAUGCUUCAAGGUUUGAUAUUUGAUACUUUUGAUAUAUUUGUUCACUUAUUUUAAAUUAUAUUAAAUUUGAGCUGCCUAUGACUGAAAAGGGGAAUUGGAGAAUUUAAUUGCUCCAAGCCCAAAGUUUAUACGCCACUAAGCUUUAUGCUUAGCGAUAAUUGUUUUCUAUCAUAGGUAAUGUACGGAAUGAAACUUGAAGACGGUCUUAUGAAGUAGUCUUUUUGGGAGCACUUAUGGAGAUCACAUUUGCAUAUGCACCUUAGUUUGUAUACUUUUGGGACAU